This 485-nucleotide ribosomal RNA is filed under the name uncultured Corynebacterium sp. RNAcentral's name for it is "partial 16S ribosomal RNA". Lineage: Bacteria; Bacillati; Actinomycetota; Actinomycetes; Mycobacteriales; Corynebacteriaceae. The record is from RNAcentral.
CACGUAGUUAGCCGGUGCUUCUUAUCUAGGUACCGUCACACAAAGCUUCGUCCCUAGCGAAAGGAGUUUACAACCCGAAGGCCUUCAUCCCCCACGCGGCGUCGCUGCAUCAGGCUUGCGCCCAUUGUGCAAUAUUCCCCACUGCUGCCUCCCGUAGGAGUCUGGGCCGUAUCUCAGUCCCAAUGUGGCCGUACACCCUCUCAGGCCGGCUACCCGUCGCCGCCUUGGUAGGCCAUUACCCCACCAACAAGCUGAUAGGCCGCGAGCUCAUCCUACACCGAAAAAACUUUCCAACCACCACACUAAAGAUGGCUCCUAUCCGGUAUUAGACCCAGUUUCCCAAGCUUAUCCCGAAGUGCAGGGCAGAUCACCCACGUGUUACUCACCCGUUCGCCACUCGAGUACCCUGCAAGCAGGGCCUUUCCGUUCGACUUGCAUGUGUUAAGCACGCCGCCAGCGUUCGUCCUGAGCCAGGAUCAAACUCU